AUUCCAGACUCGUGUGUGGCUGCUUGCGCAGCUGCUCCGUGCCAGGCUUGGAGGACCAGGAGAAGGGGUAGUCACUUGCCACAGCUGGAGGCUGGAGCAUGUGGCACCACAGCUCUCCUCGCUGUGGCGGGUGCUGGCAACAGAGACGGCAGCUCGGCUGGACUGCUAGGAGGGGGCUGUUAUUGUCAUACAAAUUACAUCUUUAUACAUGUUGCGCUGAACAACAAGUGGAUUUGUAGGUGUUUCUUUGUGAAGUUAUCUUCUAAAUCAGAUUUGCUGAGAUUUGUUUUGUGGCCUAACAUCUGAUCUACCCUGAAGACACUUCCAUGUGCUGAUGAGGAGAAUGCAUACUCUUCAGCUGUUGAGUGGGAUGUUCUGUGAAUAUCUGGUAAAAAAACUGAGGCUUAGAAACAUUGAAAAAAACUUGCUCAACGUUGCAAAACAAGAAAUUUGUGACACUGGAAUUGACAUCUACAAGGGACUGAUGUAACUAAUUGCUGGAUACAUGUCCCUCAAAGACACAGAAACAGAUCUUGUAUUCUAGUGGAUCUCCGGCACCCAGUGAGGGCCUGAAACAGAGUACAUGUCCAACAAAUAAUUAUUGAAGUAAAGAUUGACAUUUCAGGAGCAGAGAUUAAUAUUCAAAAACAAAGAUGAGAAUUUUGGCAGAAAAGUCAAAAUGAGGUUCCAACGUGGCUCAACAUGGCAGUUCCUGAUCCUGACUUUGCUUAAAAUUUGGUACUUUAUCACAAAUUUUAAAAUUAAUUUUGAUUUCUCAAAAUAUUGAUUAAAAUGUUUGUCUCUACUA
This is a long non-coding RNA of Pan troglodytes (chimpanzee), 808 nucleotides long. RefSeq lists it as uncharacterized. Lineage: Eukaryota; Metazoa; Chordata; Mammalia; Primates; Hominidae. The transcript is spliced from 5 exons. The record is from RefSeq and is a predicted model, not a curated record.